RNAcentral lists this ribosomal RNA (1078 nucleotides) under uncultured stramenopile. RNAcentral describes it as "bacterial SSU rRNA". It matches the Rfam family "Eukaryotic small subunit ribosomal RNA", at positions 577 to 1674 of the family's 1831-position model. The record is from RNAcentral.
CGGUAAUUCCAGCUCCAAUAGCGUAUACUAACGUUGUUGCAGUUAAAAAGCUCGUAGUUGGAUUUCUGAUCUUUGCCAAUGGUUGUGUCGCCGCGUGCGAGGCGCCUUGCGCAGAGGUCAACAUAUGUCACGAGCCAGUGUGAUCUAUUCAUUUAGGUCCACUGGGUAAUGACUCGUUUACUUUGAGAAAAUUAGAGUGUUCAAAGCAGGCAUUUGCCUUGAAUAUGUUAGCAUGGAAUAAUAGCAUAGGACUUCGGUUCUAUUUGUUGGUUGUUCGAGAACUGGAGUAAUGAUUGAUAGGGACGGUUGGGGGCAUCCGUAUUCUCAAGCGAGAGGUGAAAUUCUUGGACCUUGGGAAGACGAACAGCUGCGAAAGCGUUUGCCUAGGACGUUCUCUUUAAUCAAGAACGAAAGUUGGGGGAUCGAAGACGAUCAGAUACCGUCGUAGUCUCAACUAUAAACUAUGCCAGCUAGGGAUCGGUGGGUCUUUGUCACGAGUCCAUCGGCACCUUACGAGAAAUCAAAGCAUUUGGGUUCCGGGGGGAGUAUGGUCGCAAGGCUGAAACUUAAAGGAAUUGACGGAAGGGCACCACCAGGAGUGGAGCCUGUGGCUUAAUUUGACUCAACACGGGAAAACUUACCAGGUCCGGACAUAGUAAGGAUUGACAGAUUGAAAGCUCUUUCUUGAUUCUAUGGGUGGUGGUGCAUGGCCGUUCUUAGUUGGUGGAGUGAUUUGUCUGGUUAAUUCCGUUAACGAACGAGACCCGCGCCUGCUAAAUAGUCGGCCUCACUUCUGUGGGUGUUGUACUUCUUAGAGGGACCAUCCUGGGUAUACCGGAAGGAAGUUGCGGGCAAUAACAGGUCUGUGAUGCCCUUAGAUGUUCUGGGCUGCACACGGGCUACACUGCAAGAUACAACAAGCGUCGAUCACGCCUGACUGGAAGGUCCGGCCAAUCUUUGAAUAUCUUGCGUGAUUGGGAUAGACCAUUGCAAUUAUUGGUCUUCAACGAGGAAUUCCUAGUAAACGCGUGUCAACAACACGCAUUGAUUACGUCCCUGCCCUUUGUACACACCGCCC